UCCUCUCUGAUUGGCCGAGAACAUGGCGGGAAAAAGUUUGACAGAGUGGAGUCGAAAAACGCAGCAGUCUAGCGUUUUCAAUGUUUACAAUAACAUUGAAAACAGACUGAAAAUGACGAGAAAACAAGCUACUUUUUAAAUAAACCAUCUGCGCCUACAGUCUCAGAAGCAGCAACUUAGAAGAACCUGCCAUUUUGACAGCCGAAACCAACGACAAUGGGGUUGAUAUCAGCAUUACCCUGAGAAAGCUCCAGGCGGAGGGAGACAUGCAGUGACAGCACAGCUGGGCGCCUGACGUGACUCACACCGAUGAGACUGGAUGCGGGAGGCCUGAGGCUGAGCUCCACAUCGCAGCAGAGCCGGCGGCGCCGUGCAGCAGUUCUCUCCUGGUGUGACUUGCCCUGUGCACAGAGCGAGUCUCUACGAGCUUCUGUCUCCAUGCAGCAGGCGGAGAGGCUGUCGUGCCGUUUAUCACCAUCAUGCUGAUGGUGUGUGGAUGUUGAUGGGCCACCUGUCCUUCCUAUGGGCCACUCAGCUAAGUGAAACCAGCAGUGGCCUCAUUAGAGAAGCUUAUUGCCUUAAUUCAGCCCAAACACAACAACUCGAGAUGGAGCCGUUCCAAAAUAACUGCACUGUAAAACAUUUACAGAUGGUAUAACUUGAAAAUGAAAGUCCACCUGCUGCUUUAAAAAUGCCA
Long non-coding RNA from Gambusia affinis (western mosquitofish), 697 nucleotides. RefSeq lists it as uncharacterized. The record is from RefSeq and is a predicted model, not a curated record. The transcript is spliced from 4 exons. Lineage: Eukaryota; Metazoa; Chordata; Actinopteri; Cyprinodontiformes; Poeciliidae.